RNAcentral lists this ribosomal RNA (497 nucleotides) under uncultured bacterium. Its description in RNAcentral is "partial 16S ribosomal RNA". It matches the Rfam family "Bacterial small subunit ribosomal RNA", at positions 28 to 507 of the family's 1533-position model. The record is from RNAcentral.
GAUGAACGCUGGCGGCGUGCCUAAUACAUGCAAGUCGAGCGAACAGGCGAGUUGCUUGCUCCUUGGACGUUAGCGGCGGACGGGUGAGUAACACGUGGGUAACCUACCUAUAAGUCUGUGAGAACUUCGGGAAACCGGAGCUGAUACUGGAUAAUAUUUCGAACCGCAUGGUUCGAUAGUGAGAGAUGGCUCUGCUAUCGCUUAUAGAUGGACCUGCGCCGUAUUAGCUAGUUGGUAGGGUAACGGCUUACCAAGGCAACGAUACGUAGCCGACCUGAGAGGGGGAUCGGCGACCCUAGAACGGCGACGAGGUGCCGACUCCUCCGGGAGGCAGCAGUAGGGAAUCUUACGAAAUGGGCGACAGACUGCCGGAGCAACGACGCGUGAGUGAUGAAGGUCUCCGGAUCGUAAAAAUCUGUUAUCAGGGAAGAACAAGCGUGUAAGUAACUGUGCACGUCUUGACGGUACCUAAUCAGAAAGCCACGGCUAACUACGUG